UACUGCAAGUCGAACGCACUCUCGUUUAGAUUGAAGGAGCUUGCUCCUGAUUGAUAAACAUUUGAGUGAGUGGCGGACGGGUGAGUAACACGUGGGUAACCUGCCCUAAAGUGGGGGAUAACAUUUGGAAACAGAUGCUAAUACCGCAUAAAACCUAACACCGCAUGGUGUAGGGUUGAAAGAUGGUUUCGGCUAUCACUUUAGGAUGGACCCGCGGUGCAUUAGUUAGUUGGUGAGGUAAAGGCUCACCAAGACCGUGAUGCAUAGCCGACCUGAGAGGGUAAUCGGCCACACUGGGACUGAGACACGGCCCAGACUCCUACGGGAGGCAGCAGUAGGGAAUCUUCCACAAUGGACGAAAGUCUGAUGGAGCAACGCCGCGUGAGUGAAGAAGGUUUUCGGAUCGUAAAACUCUGUUGUUGGAGAAGAAUGUAUCUGAUAGUAACUGAUCAGGUAGUGACGGUAUCCAACCAGAAAGCCACGGCUAACUACGUGCCAGCAGCCGCGGUAAUACGUAGGUGGCAAGCGUUGUCCGGAUUUAUUGGGCGUAAAGCGAGCGCAGGCGGUUUCUUAAGUCUGAUGUGAAAGCCUUCGGCUCAACCGAAGAAGUGCAUCGGAAACUGGGAAACUUGAGUGCAGAAGAGGACAGUGGAACUCCAUGUGUAGCGGUGAAAUGCGUAGAUAUAUGGAAGAACACCAGUGGCGAAGGCGGCUGUCUGGUCUGUAACUGACGCUGAGGCUCGAAAGCAUGGGUAGCAAACAGGAUUAGAUACCCUGGUAGUCCAUGCCGUAAACGAUGAGUGCUAGGUGUUGGAGGGUUUCCGCCCUUCAGUGCCGCAGCUAACGCAUUAAGCACUCCGCCUGGGGAGUACGACCGCAAGGUUGAAACUCAAAGGAAUUGACGGGGCCCGCACAAGCGGUGGAGCAUGUGGUUUAAUUCGAAGCAACGCGAGAACCUUACCAGGUCUU
This 969-nucleotide ribosomal RNA is filed under the name Latilactobacillus sakei. RNAcentral's name for it is "bacterial SSU rRNA". It matches the Rfam family "Bacterial small subunit ribosomal RNA", at positions 52 to 982 of the family's 1533-position model. Lineage: Bacteria; Bacillati; Bacillota; Bacilli; Lactobacillales; Lactobacillaceae. The record is from RNAcentral.